RNAcentral lists this ribosomal RNA (2880 nucleotides) under Nelumbo nucifera (sacred lotus). Its description in RNAcentral is "bacterial LSU rRNA". The stretch from base 1 to 2483 matches the Rfam family "Bacterial large subunit ribosomal RNA". The record is from RNAcentral. Lineage: Eukaryota; Viridiplantae; Streptophyta; Magnoliopsida; Proteales; Nelumbonaceae.
AUUAGUUUGGGAGCCUUACAUUGGAUGCCUAGGCAACCAAAGAUGAAGAAGAGUGUAAUAAAUGACUAAAUGCUUCGAUGAUUUGAAAAUAAACAUAGAUCUAUAGAUUCCCAAAUAGGUCAACCUUCUAAACUAUAGCUGAAUCCAUGGAUAGGCAAGAGACAACUUAGCAAACUAAAACAUCUUAAUGGGAAGAGGAAAAGAAAGCAAAAGUUAUCCCCAUAGUAGCAACGGACAAAAUGAGAGUAGCCUAAACCAUAAAAACGGAGUUAUGGGAAAGAAACACAAGCAUCAUGCUUUUAGGCGAAGUAGUAGAGUACUACACACUAAAUGGCAAGAAUCCAAUAGCCAACAGCAUCACUAGCUUAUGCUUUGACCCGAGUAGCAUGGGGCACGUGGAAUCCCGUAUGAAUCAACAAGGAUCACCUUGCAAGGCUAAAUACUCCUGGGUGACCAAUAGCAAAGUAGUACCAUGAGAAAAGAAUAAAAAUAACCUCCAUUGGGAAGCAAAAUAGAAUAUAAAACCAGAAGCUCCCAAGUAGUGGGAAGAGCCCAAGACAAUUGUCACUAGGGGUGUCAAUGGUAUUCAAAAAUCUGAUUUCGAAUUCGAGAUUCGACAAGAUUCAACAUAAUCGAAUCAAAUUCGACUAAGUCAAAUAUCUAAUUGGUUGAAUUUGGAUAUCCUAUUCAUACCGAAUAGAUAAUCGGAUUUGAAUUCAAAUGUGACAUGAUUCAUAUUGAUAAAUAUUUUAAUUUGAUCGAUUAUUUAAUUCUUAUAUAUAAUAUAUAAAAUACUUAAAUAUUUUAUAUAAUUUAUAUAUAAUAAUUAAAUUAUAUAAAUAAUUUAUAUACUUUAUAUAAAAAAUAUUUAUUUUAUAUAUUUAUUAAUUACCUAAAAUAAUUAACUGAUCAACUUCGAAUCAAAUUGAAUUCAAAUUCGAACAUUAAUUUUCAAUAUCCAUCUAAUAUUGAAUCGGAUUCGGAUAUCGAAUCUUCUAAUCGAGUUAUUUAUUAAUUACCUAAUUCUCACUAUUAUGGACCUGAACCUGGGUUAUUUAGUUGGGUAAAACUAAGUGGAGGUCCAAAUUGAUUGAUGUUGAAGAAUUAGCAGAUGAGUUGUGGUUAGGGGUGAAAUGCCACUCGAACCCAGAGUUAGUUGGUUUCAACGAAAUGCGUUAAGGUCCAAAAAUCCAUUGGACAUAUAGGGGUAAAGCACUAUUUCGAUGCAGGUUGCUAGAGUGACACCAAAUUGAGGCAAACUCUAAAUACUAGAUAUAACCCCAAAAUAACAAGGGUCAAGGUCAUCCAGUGAGACAAUGGGGGAUAAGCUUCAUUAUUGAGAGGGAAACAAUCAGCUUUGCCUAGAAGGAUGUAUGGGUGCAAAGAUAGCUAGGAGAUUUUCUUAAAAGUAGCCACCAUUGAAAGAGUGUAAUAUCUCAUCGAUUGAGUUCUCUUGCGCCAAAGAUGAACAAGGCUAAAGGAUCUUCCAAAUCUAUGGGAUGUGUGAAUAUUCUUGUACUACCCCUUGUUGGUCCUGAGGGAUGAAAGAAACUAGGUUAGUCAAAAUAUGGUUAUCUAUUCAAGGAUCAAGGUGACCUUGCUUUUUCAAGGUAAGAAAGGGUGGAGAAAAUUUCUCAAGCCAAUGUUCAAGUACCAUGCACUAUGGCACUAAAGUAACCCAUGCCAUACUCCCAGGAAAAGCUCGAACGACCAAAACAAAAGGGUACCUGUAACCAAAUCCAACACAGGUGGGUAGGUAGGAAAUACCCAGGGGUGUGAGACAACUCUCUCUAAAGAACUUGACAAAAUAGCCCAACAACAUUGCUAGAAAGGGUGCCUCCUCACAAAGGAGGUCGUAGUGACCAAUCUCUAGUGAUUGUUUACUAAAAACAUAGGCCUCUAUAAAGUCGCAAGACCAUGUGUAGGGGUUAAUGCCUCCCAGUGCUAGAAGGUCAAAGAAGUUGGUGGCCUGAUGAUAGGAGAGCCAGUGAUCGAAGCCCUAGUGAACAAUAGUUGUAACUAUAAUAGUCCUAAAGUAGCAAAAUUCCUUACCAAGAAAGUUUGUAUGAAAGGUGUAAUGAUCUGGGCAUCUUCUCGAAAGAGAGGCUCAAUGAAAUAGACAUGUUUGUGAAGAUGUAAACUACUUAGAACUGGAUUAAUGAUCUUGGCCUUUCCUACACAACUUAGGUGCAAGGUGAUGAAGGCCUCCUUUGAGGGGUCCUGAGCCUUCAAUGAGACACCACUAUGGAAGAGCUAGAAUUUUAAUCUUGUCUGAAGACCUAUGGACAAGGGAUUGUCUUAGGUAAACAAUUUCUAUAGGGUUUAGGCCUCCUAAUAGGUAAUGGACAUAUACAAAGGCUUCGUUGGGCCGGAUAGAGAUUGGCUCAUCCUUCUUAAGUAGUCGACUACUUAAGUGUAGGGUGAAUUCUAUCACAAGUAGUCGACUACCUGGUAAAAGUAGUUAACUACUUGCAUUAAUCCUUCUUAAAUAGUCAAUUACUAGGUGCAACCCCUAUUCAGGUUUAAUAUUUUUUUUUUUUUUUUACUUUUGAACUUCUCUAACCACACAAAAACUUACUUGAAUCAUUUCCUACCUUCCUCUGUAUAUCAUCUUCAACCUCCAUCCACUCCUAUUCAAGCCUUUCUUACUUAAUUGGAAAAAUCUCAAAUGGCCUCAAGAGGAGGAAGAAGACGUCUAACGUGCAAGGAGAGAACUGCUCCAAGCAAUCCCAUGAUCAAAAAGGUCCAUUUUUCAUGACCAAUGAGGUAGAAAAAAAGAUAUUUUGAAUUCUUUGCAACUAGAGAAGUUCUAGAAGGCCAAUUUGUUGAUUUGGGGUACUAGAGCUUGAGGGUUUCAAUAUUGAAACUCCAUUAAAAAAU